AGAGUUUGAUCAUGGCUCAGAUUGAACGCUGGCGGCAGGCCUAACACAUGCAAGUCGAGCGGUAGCACAGAGAGCUUGCUCUCGGGUGACGAGCGGCGGACGGGUGAGUAAUGUCUGGGAAACUGCCUGAUGGAGGGGGAUAACUACUGGAAACGGUAGCUAAUACCGCAUAAUGUCGCAAGACCAAAGUGGGGGACCUUCGGGCCUCAUGCCAUCAGAUGUGCCCAGAUGGGAUUAGCUAGUAGGUGGGGUAACGGCUCACCUAGGCGACGAUCCCUAGCUGGUCUGAGAGGAUGACCAGCCACACUGGAACUGAGACACGGUCCAGACUCCUACGGGAGGCAGCAGUGGGGAAUAUUGCACAAUGGGCGCAAGCCUGAUGCAGCCAUGCCGCGUGUGUGAAGAAGGCCUUCGGGUUGUAAAGCACUUUCAGCGGGGAGGAAGGCGGUGAGGUUAAUAACCUCAUCGAUUGACGUUACCCGCAGAAGAAGCACCGGCUAACUCCGUGCCAGCAGCCGCGGUAAUACGGAGGGUGCAAGCGUUAAUCGGAAUUACUGGGCGUAAAGCGCACGCAGGCGGUCUGUCAAGUCGGAUGUGAAAUCCCCGGGCUCAACCUGGGAACUGCAUUCGAAACUGGCAGGCUAGAGUCUUGUAGAGGGGGGUAGAAUUCCAGGUGUAGCGGUGAAAUGCGUAGAGAUCUGGAGGAAUACCGGUGGCGAAGGCGGCCCCCUGGACAAAGACUGACGCUCAGGUGCGAAAGCGUGGGGAGCAAACAGGAUUAGAUACCCUGGUAGUCCACGCCGUAAACGAUGUCGAUUUGGAGGUUGUGCCCUUGAGGCGUGGCUUCCGGAGCUAACGCGUUAAAUCGACCGCCUGGGGAGUACGGCCGCAAGGUUAAAACUCAAAUGAAUUGACGGGGGCCCGCACAAGCGGUGGAGCAUGUGGUUUAAUUCGAUGCAACGCGAAGAACCUUACCUGGUCUUGACAUCCACAGAACUUUCCAGAGAUGGAUUGGUGCCUUCGGGAACUGUGAGACAGGUGCUGCAUGGCUGUCGUCAGCUCGUGUUGUGAAAUGUUGGGUUAAGUCCCGCAACGAGCGCAACCCUUAUCCUUUGUUGCCAGCGGUCCGGCCGGGAACUCAAAGGA
This 1146-nucleotide ribosomal RNA is filed under the name Klebsiella pneumoniae DMC1316. Its description in RNAcentral is "bacterial SSU rRNA". It matches the Rfam family "Bacterial small subunit ribosomal RNA", at positions 8 to 1146 of the family's 1533-position model. Lineage: Bacteria; Pseudomonadati; Pseudomonadota; Gammaproteobacteria; Enterobacterales; Enterobacteriaceae. The record is from RNAcentral.